UAUACCCAGGAAAAAGGGAAGUACCUUCAAAGGAACAUAGCUGAAGUAUCUGAUGGCAGAUAAUUUAAUGUCCUUUAUUUUUGUUUUGUUUUGUUUUAGGGGUGAGGCAAUGAGAAAUGGGAGAAAAAGUUAUCCUCUACAGAUCCAGCUAUAGUUUUGUUGCUGAGAGAACACAGCCAGCACCAUGAGAGGACUAGUGGGGAUGUAGUAUUAUCUUCAGCCAACACCACCAACAUUACAUUCAGAGCAAAAAUAAAAUGAAGGCGAACUUCAGAGAGGCAGUGGGUAUAAGAGGUUUUGCUGACAGCAUGGUGUAAAGAAUAAGACCUUGAGUCCGGCGAUGAUCUUAGGAGGCAUGGGUCCUAGAAAGCUUAGGAUCAUAUGCAAAACCCUACUCAAACUCAUUUCAACUGUCUGGAAAUAUAGUACAUGCCAUGGACUUACUUCAGGAAAGAAUGAUUUCCCUGUUACAGCAUUCCUUGAAGAAAAACAGAAUUGGAUAUGCUGACCCGGCUAUGUAUUUUUUUUAAAAAUAACUGAGUUACUGAGUCACUGCACACUCUACCCUCUCUGCACAGUUCCAGACUGCUGCCACUCAAAAACCCAGGCCUCUGCACCACUCAAACGGAGCACAAGCACUCAGCCAUGGCAGAUUUUUG
RNAcentral lists this long non-coding RNA (659 nucleotides) under Macaca mulatta (Rhesus monkey). RNAcentral describes it as "lncRNA (ENSMMUG00000060534.1)". Lineage: Eukaryota; Metazoa; Chordata; Mammalia; Primates; Cercopithecidae. The record is from RNAcentral.